GUGAAAUUUCGCCUUCGAGCGUGAAAGAGUGGCAAGGGAGCAGGUGUGGCUCAUGGGCUGAACGUCCAUGUUCCCGUGCCAAGACGUUCUUUCUCCCCUGCUUCUUUCAGGUGCGAGGAAUCCUCUCCACCCUGCACAGCUGCACAGAGUCCAUGCUGGAGCCCUUGUUCAUGUACUUCGUGCACCAUGCGGUGCUGAUCCUGGCCCGCCAUCACGAGAGGCUCACGGUGAACGUCAUCCUCGAGAAGUUUGUGCCUCUGGACAGAAACACACUGGAGCUGUGGAGGACUCUGGGGAGAGACAGCAUUGGCAUCGGUGUGCUGAAGCGCUUAGCGAGGAAGCUGAGGAGAGUGGGAGACGACAGCUCCCAGCCCAGCUCGUCCAGUGGCAGGCUGCACUCCCACCAGCCUUCUGCGGAGUCCUUGACUGUACGUUCAGAGGCUUUGUGCCUGCUCCCCCACUGACAGUCCGAGGGCAAGGCGUUGGGUGCCCUUUGCAAGCGUCUCUGGACACUGCCAGGACACUGCUGCAGUGUCUCAGCGGUAGCAGUUGGGGCCAGCCGGGACAGCCGCUGCUCCCAGGCUGCAAGGCUGUCCCGGAGACGGGGCGUGCAGGCAGUAGAAGUGCCCCAGGCAGCCAGCGAGCCGGGGCUGGUGGCAAAGCACUUGUUUAACGGGUGCUUGUCGGGUGCUCUCAUUUCCCUGCAGGUCACCCAUGCCAUCUCCGAAAUGGUGUCCGUGCAGUUCAAGGAGGGGGUCCAGAGCUUGCUUCCCUCCCUCCUCCCUGGGCUCCUGCUGCAGCUCAGCAAGGCACUGGGCGAAGAGAUGCUGUUUGCGCCCCUCAGCCCCUGGAGAGGGCAUGCUGAGGAUCAGCGGCAAGAGGGCAACGUGUGCAGGUCAGGAGCAGGAGGGGCAGGGCAAGGGGGGCUUGAAUGGCCUAGCCAAGCAUGCUUGUGUGUUUCCUGUCUUGCUUUGUGGCCGAGCUCUGGCCACGGGCAGCUGUGCUCUCUCCUCCCUGCCAUCGACUGAUCCUGGGGGCCCUGGCUUUUGUCCUUCUGUAAGCGGCUUGGGGCAUUGCCAGGGCUAAAAAAGACGGUUGCUUUUCUGGCCAGCUUUUGCCACAGACUUGGUGGCUACAGAGCGUUGCCUCUGCGCUUCUUUGCCUCUCCCUCCCUCGCUGGAGCUUGGGAGGAGUGAAGAACCGGCUCAUAAAGCUGCUGAGCAUUCUUGCUUUGCUAAGUCUUCUCCUGCAAAACACUGCUCUGAUCUGAGACUGAUCUGGCUCUUGCUCUUUCCCCAGGCCUUUCUGCGAAACUCUAAUGUCAGUGCUGAGCAAAUGUGCUGAGAAGAACUGGCUGACACUGUUCUGGAGGCAGAAAAUGUCGGCGCUGCUGGAGAGCCCCCGCACUUAUGCCGAGGGCAUGUGCCUCCUGACGAGGUGA
Molecule: long non-coding RNA, 1441 nt
Filed under: Anas platyrhynchos platyrhynchos (common mallard)
Lineage: Eukaryota; Metazoa; Chordata; Aves; Anseriformes; Anatidae
Description: lncRNA (ENSAPLG00000019838.1)
Source: RNAcentral